RNAcentral lists this ribosomal RNA (254 nucleotides) under uncultured bacterium. RNAcentral describes it as "partial 16S ribosomal RNA". It matches the Rfam family "Bacterial small subunit ribosomal RNA", at positions 524 to 776 of the family's 1533-position model. The record is from RNAcentral.
UACGUAGGGGGCGAGCGUUGUCCGGAGUUACUGGGCGUAAAGGGCAUGCAGGCGGUCGGACGCGUUUUCGGCUGACAGCGGGUGGCUUCACUACCCGAGUGGUCGAAAGACGGUUUGACUUGAGGACGCGAGAGGGACACGGAAUUCCGGGUGGAGUGGUGAAAUGCGUAGAGAUCCGGAGGAACACCGAAGGCGAAGGCAGUGUCCUGGCGCGUGACUGACGCUGAGGUGCGAAAGCCAGGGGAGCGAACGGG